This 1923-nucleotide long non-coding RNA is filed under the name Homo sapiens (human). Its description in RNAcentral is "HSALNT0177507". Lineage: Eukaryota; Metazoa; Chordata; Mammalia; Primates; Hominidae. The record is from RNAcentral.
AGAACUUCCUGGAGGCAGCUUCUGAGUGACUAAUUACCACAAUCUGAAAAUAUAAAAUAACUCCCAUUCAUCAUCUUUCAGUCCUGCGGGGCAGGAAACCUCCUGUCUCAGGGCCUCACGAGGCUAGAGUCAAAAUGUCAGCUGCCGUGGGCUCUUAUCUGCAGACUCUGGGGAAAGCCCACUUCCAGGCUCAUCCAGGAUGUUAACAGAAUUGUCUCCAUGGGCCUAGGACUGAAGUCCACGUCUUCUUGCUGGAUGUUGGCUGGUGUCAUUCUCACUCCUAGAGGCCACUGCAUUCCUUCCACGAUGGCUUGAACACCUCCAUCAUCAGAGCCAGCAAGCAAGAGCACGCUGAAGACGCUUCGAGAUGCAGCAAGACGCCUGUAAUCCCAGCCCUUUGGGAGACCGAGGCAGGUGGAUCACGAGGUCAGGAGAUCGAGACCAUCCUGGCCAACAUGGUGAAGCCCCGUCUCUACUGAAAUACAAAAAGUUAGCCAGACGUGGUGGCACGUGUCUAUAGUCCCAGCUACUCGGAGGCUGAGGCAGGGGAAUCGCUUGAACCCGGGAGGCGGAAAUUGCAGUGAGCUGAGAUUGCGCCACUGCACUCCAGCCUGGCAACAGAGCGAGACUCCAUCUCAAAAAAAAAGGUGCUGCAAGACGCUUCCAAUCUCUGUGACUUCCCCUUCUGCCAUACCUCUUUACUUUUUCCCCCUCUUUUGGGGAGGGGGGAGGGUUUAAAAUAAAUAUAAAAUUUACCAUCAUAACUGUGAAAGGAAAAUAAAUCUCAGGACUCCAAAAUCACUAAGCCAAAGGGAAAAGUCAAGCUGGGAACUGCGUUGGGCAAACUGCCUCGCCUUUUCUUCUUUAAUAAAAUAGCUACGAAGAUUUAAAAAGCUACAUACCUCCCUCACAAUUUGCCCGCUAGGAAAUUUUUCGUGGGCACCCAAGAUCUUUACCCUAAAACAGUUUUGUUGAAUUUUACCCUAACAAUGUACAUUGACAACUGAUCUUCACAGGUUCCAAACAAAGGAUGGAACUCUAAGUCAUCCCUCUGCUCACCUGAUUGCUUCCUCUGGUAUAAAAGUGCAGAUUCACCGAGCCAGACUAAGGCAUAAGUGACUAUUCCUCUACCCCCGCAACCUGUAAAUUGUGUAUUUCAGUGAAAGUCUGAUCAAAGACUCACAAGAAUGCAACCUUUGUCUCUUAUCUCUCCACAUAUUUUUAAAAUUUCUCCCUCUUUCCCAAUAUCCACCCUUUCCCUUUUUUUUUUUUUUUUUUUUUUUUGAGACAGAGUCUUGCUUCGUUGCCCAGGCUAGAGUGCAGUGGUGCGAUCUCAGGUCACUCAGCAACCUCCGCCACAGCACCUGGCCAGUUUCCCCUUUAAAUAUUGAAGUCCUACAAAUCAUCCUUGAAGGAAGGCAUAGACCUGCCUCCCAGGCACUCCUUAACCUUGGCAAAAUAAACUUACUAAAUAGAUCGAGACCUGUCUCAGAUAUUUUUAGUUCACAUAACUAUAUUGAAGUGUACAGCUCAUUGAUAUUAAAUAUAUUAAUGAUGCUAUACAACUAUCACCUCCAACUCCAGAACUCUUUUUAUCUUGCAAAACUGAAAUUCUGGACCCAUUAAGCACUGACUCCUCAUUCCCUCAGCCCCUGGAAACCACCAUUCUCCUUUCUAUCCCUAAGAUUUUGGCGACUCUAGGUUCCUCAUUUAAGUGGAAUCCUGCAGUAUUUGUUCUUUUGUGACUGGCUUAUGUCAUUUAGCCUAAAAUCCUCAAGGUUCAUCCAUGUAGCAUGUGUCCAAAUUUCCUUCCUUUUUAAAGCUGAAUAAUACUCCACUGUAUGUAUCCAUGACAUUUUGCUUAUCCAGUCAUCCAUGGAUGGGCACUGGGUUGCUUCCACCUUUUGACUAUUGUGAAUAAUG